GGAGAUAACCCGGUUGGAUCAGGAGCUUGUCUUGAAAACAAGUAAUACCAUCACAAGGUAUUGGGGGUUCGAAUCCCUCUGUCUCCG
Molecule: transfer RNA, 87 nt
Organism: Microscilla marina ATCC 23134
Lineage: Bacteria; Pseudomonadati; Bacteroidota; Cytophagia; Cytophagales; Microscillaceae
Rfam family: tRNA
About the family: Transfer RNA (tRNA) molecules are approximately 80 nucleotides in length.
Source: Rfam